Molecule: ribosomal RNA, 253 nt
Filed under: uncultured bacterium
Lineage: Bacteria
Description: partial 16S ribosomal RNA
Rfam family: Bacterial small subunit ribosomal RNA
Source: RNAcentral
UACGUAGGGUGCGAGCGUUAAUCGGAAUUACUGGGCGUAAAGCGUGCGUAGGCGGUUCUCUAAGUCCGUUGUGAAAGCCCCGGGCUCAACCUGGGAAUGGCAGUGGAAACUAGGGGACUGGAAUCUGGCAGAGGGGGGUGGAAUGCCGCGUGUAGCAGUGAAAUGCGUAGAGAUGCGGCGGAACACCGAUGGCGAAGGCAGCCCCCUGGGCUGAGAUUGACGCUCAGGCACGAAAGCGUGGGGAGCAAACAGG